ACCAGGGUAUGUAACGUUGAGUGAAGGGUAUGGAUGUGAUCUGUAUUCUGAUAGCGUUACGCGUGGUGCAUGGCCGUUCUUAACACGUGGGGUGACUUGUCUGGUUAAAUCCGAUAACGCGUGAGACCCUGGAAAUUGACGAUACUUGACAAGAGUAGGGAAGCUCGGGUCGAUAACAGGUCUGUGAUGCCCGUAGAUAUUCUGGGCGCCACGCGCACUACAGUGGGAGAGGAUACGUGAAACGGAACUCUCUUGCGGUUGGGAUUGACGUUUGUAAAUACGUCAUGAACGCGGAAUUCCUAGUAAUUUGUUGUCAUUAACGACAGAUGAAUGAGUCCCUGUUCUUUGUACACACCGCCCGUCGUUAUCUAAGAUGAAUGUGCGGAUGAAGUUGGUUAGGCCAAAAGAAUCCGUGCGAUUAGAUUGGAUACAAGUCGUAACAAGGUUGCGGUAGGAGAACCUGCCGCAGGAUCAAUAAAAAGAUCAUUGGGUUUUUAUAAUGUGGGUAACACAUUGCGUUCGAAGGAUCGAUUGGUUUUGGUGACGAUGACGAUUGUUGCUGUAUGCGAUAAUGAGUGACAACAGCCUUGUUUAACUCGUUAUCUAAUUAUAGAUGCCAUCUAUGAUUACCCCUUGGACUUAAGAUAUCAUUAAAGGGAGGAAAAGGAACAACUGUGAAUUUCGA
RNAcentral lists this ribosomal RNA (685 nucleotides) under Microsporidium sp. MIC1. RNAcentral's name for it is "bacterial SSU rRNA". The stretch from base 1 to 477 matches the Rfam family "Microsporidia small subunit ribosomal RNA", at positions 844 to 1311 of the family's 1311-position model. The record is from RNAcentral. Lineage: Eukaryota; Fungi; Microsporidia.